This 416-nucleotide ribosomal RNA is filed under the name uncultured Gammaproteobacteria bacterium. RNAcentral describes it as "bacterial SSU rRNA". It matches the Rfam family "Bacterial small subunit ribosomal RNA", at positions 9 to 429 of the family's 1533-position model. The record is from RNAcentral. Lineage: Bacteria; Pseudomonadati; Pseudomonadota; Gammaproteobacteria.
GAGUUUGAUCCUGGCUCAGAUUGAACGCUGGCGGCAUGCCUAACACAUGCAAGUCGAACGGCAGCGCGGGGGCAACCCUGGCGGCGAGUGGCGGACGGGUGAGGAAUGCAUCGGAAUCUGCCCGGUUGUGGGGGAUAACUCACCGAAAGGUGAGCUAAUACCGCAUAGGACCGAGAGGUGAAAGCGGGGGACCGAAAGGCCUCGCGCGAUCGGAUGAGCCGAUGCCGGAUUAGCUAGUUGGUAGGGUAAAGGCCUACCAAGGCGACGAUCCGUAGCUGGUCUGAGAGGAUGAUCAGCCACACUGGGACUGAGACACGGCCCAGACUCCUACGGGAGGCAGCAGUGGGGAAUAUUGGACAAUGGGCGCAAGCCUGAUCCAGCAAUGCCGCGUGUGUGAAGAAGGCCUCGGUUGUAAG